Molecule: long non-coding RNA, 4158 nt
Organism: Neofelis nebulosa (Clouded leopard)
Lineage: Eukaryota; Metazoa; Chordata; Mammalia; Carnivora; Felidae
Exons: 2
Source: RefSeq, a predicted model, not a curated record
GUGUUUUUGUUUUUUUUAAGAAAUAUUUUGGUAACCCAAAUUGUUCAGUUUGCCAGGUUAAAACUAAAAGAUCAGUUUGGAUACUUGUUUUCAGACAGACUGCUUAAAGUUCAGCUCCAGAGGUAAAGCAUAGUGGAGUUUAUAGCAGUGUGGGUGAUGCUUUGUCAAGGAAUCAUUUGGGGUACUUCUGCCCCAGAAGAAGGGCUUUUGAAAAACUCAGCUGAGCCCACAGCUCCCGCCGUGUCUUUUCCUCUUGACGAAAGGUGGCUUCCUUCACCUUUGCCUGAACCCACGAGCAGUGACCAGGGUGGCAGCGAGAAGUUCUGAGUCAGAAAGACGAGGCCACUGUGGCCUCAGCUGAUUUUCCAGAACAGUGGCUUUCACGUGACGUUAGCAGCAGAGCCCUCUCCUCAAGCGUGAUGUCAUCGAGCUGCCUGAUGGCGUAAAAGGGAUAAAAAUGGGGCAGUUCUGGGGCUCCUGGGUGGCCCAGUCGGUUAAAUGUCUGACUUUGGCUCAGGUCGUGAACUCACGGUACAUGAGUUCAAGUCCCGCGUCGGGCUCUGUGCUGACAGCUCAGAGCCUGGAGCCUGCUUCGGAUUCUGUGUCUCCCUCUCUCUCUGCCCCUCCCCUGCUCCUGUGCUCUCACUCUCUCUCUAAAAUAAACGUUAAAAAAAAAAAAAGACAUUUCUGGGGGAGAUUGAAACUGCAAUUAAGUCUCAUUUAAAAAAAAAAAAAGUCUGACAUCAUCUACAGCUGGACUCAUCUACUCCAGGAUGUGACAGUCACUUAAACAAGUAAAUUCCUCACUCUGCUUAUUGUUGAGUUUUCCAGCCCUUGCAACUGAGAGAGUCCUAAGACAGGUCUAUUUGCGGCUCUGGAAAUAUCUAGAGAAAGAGACUUCGAGAAGCUUCUAAAGGGUUAUUUCCCCAUCUUUGGAGGAUGACAGAUCAGUCACGAUAUACAUGCAUCUUUCCACACUUCUCUUUAUAUAUCUGCCAGGGUCCUCGGGCUUGGAGUGUCAUGGGUGUAUGUUCUUGAUGGACACGGCUGGUGAGUCUCCCCCACCCCCCCUUCCGGAGCCCAGCCUUGCAGAGCAGUAGUCCUGAGUGUGAGCCCCCUUGCAUCAACGCCCUAUAAGCAGUUUUCCUAUUGCCCGGUGAAGUCCCACGGCUCCGGGGGAGGUGCCUCGGGGCUGCCCUGGGAGACGUGGAAGACCUCCGCUUCCGCAGGAGGGCUCGACAUCCUGACACUUCUCUGUCCGCCUUGAGCCGAGAGGGUGGCAAAAGCGCCCCCGGCUGGGCUCCCGCAGCUGCCCUCUCCUCCCGGGCGUCAGUGUCUGGGCCAGCUCGGGGGCACCCACGACUUGCUGGUCUCUGCCACGUCGAUCCCGCGAGGCUGAUUCGUGCCAAAGAAAUUCUGAUGCUCUGUGGCUCCCCGGACUGCGUUUUCCCCCACCUCCUGGGAAGAGAACGCAACUUGUUGCUUCCGCUCUUUCUACAGAAGGCUUUGAAAGCUGGGCUUUCCUCCAGGCCAUUACUGUGCAGAUUCUGGAAAGGGUGGGGGUAAGGUAAGUAAAAAUUUCCUACCUUUUUGAAUGUGCUGUUAUCCUCGAUUGGUUUUCAUUUGGUCGCUGUGGUCCUUUGACUGUUUUCCAGAGCUCCUAUGAAGUUAUUUUCUUAAGUCUGUAGUGUUUAAAAAUUUAUUAAUGUUGCCAUGGGGGGAAUGAGUGCCUUAUAUUUCCUAGCUUGCAGUCUUUCUUACUUCAUACAUUUGGAGGGUCUGUCUUUAGGUGUGUAAAUGUUUAUGAUUGUUAGAUAUCUUUGUUGUAUUGAAACUUUUAUUAAUAUAUAAUGUUCUCUUUAGCCUCUUGUAAACGUUUGGAUUUCAAGUCUUUUGUCUGAUACUCAUGUAGCCAACCCAGAUUCCUUUUGAUUACUAUUUACAUGGAAUAUCUUUUUCCAUCUUUUCACUUUUAACUAUUGUGAGUACACAGCAUAUAGUUGGAACUUUGAAUUACUGUCUAGCGUACUUUUAUUUCAACCUGAAAACUACCUUUAGUAUUUUUUUGCAGGGCAGAUCUAGUGAUAAUGAACUCCCUAAGCUUUAAGUUUAUGUAGGCAUAUUUUAAUUUAACCUUCAUUUUUGAAGGACAGUUUUGUUGGCUAUAAAAUUCUCAGUUGAUAAUUUUUUCUUUUUUCUUUUUAUUUCUUUUUUAAAUUAUUUUAGAGAGAGAGAAAGACAGAGCAUGAGUGGGGGAGAGAGGCAGAGAGAGAGAUAGAGAGAGAGAGAGAGAGAGAGAGAGAGAGAGAGUCUUAAGCAGGCUCCAGGUUCAGCAUGGAGCCUGACCUAGGGCUCGAUCCCAUGACCCUGGGAUCAUGACCUGAGUCGAAAUCAAGAGUCCGAUGAUGCUCACCUGACUGUCUGAAGGACAAAGUCCCUUUUUGCCCACGCUGGCCCCCAUAGCUUGUUCCAAGGAAUGUGGACAUAGCUACGUACCCCAAGGAUGGAUGUUUAUGGAUAGUAGCCAAUACUGUGCUAGUGCCUGAAACUGACUAAAAUGAAAAACACUUUAUAAGCCAAGACUUCAUCUGGAAGCUCCAAGCUUUGAAUAGGCUCUAUAUUUUUUAAAUCGUUAACCAGAUAGCUUCUACCAGUGCUUUUGUCAUCCAGAUGAAAAGAUGGAUUCCUGGUGCCCAUCUUCCAUGAUGUCACUCCCUACCUAACUCUUUUUAAAUCUUUGCACCACCGAUCAUCUCGUGAAGUCCAACUGCUGGUUUGCAACAUAAAAUGCCCAUGAAGAACCGUGGGGCAUUUUCUUCAGAAACCUCAGAACCUGGAGUGGCCACAAUUCUUCAAAGAGAACAAUAGGUUCUCCGUAUUUCUUCUCAUGAUAGGGCCUCAAACAUUUCAUUAGGAAGAGGGAUAUGGCUGGCCAAUACUAUUAUGGAUGAUUUCUUUGAAAUUUCCCUUGUGUCUUUCCCACAUCCCUAAGGUUUAUCAUAUCUGUAGGGGUGUUUUGUUUUGUGUUGUUUGUCUCUUCAAAGGCAUUUUGCUGAUGAAAAACAGAAGGAGCUUGUAAUACUGCUUGACUUUUCAAAACCUAAGAUCCAUAGGGAACAUGAGAAGUUCUCUGGAAGAGAUGAGAGAAGAGGAAAGAAGUUGUGUGUGGGAGGGGUAAAAAAUGGGGGAGGGUCUGUGCAUUGCAGGCCACAAGGAUUCCAGUCCUGACAUCUGGUAGAACCCCAGGGAACAGCAGGCCCAUAGCAGAGUGGCUGCUUAGGGAGCUAAUCAGCGAGACUGGAAGCCCCCAAUGCCAAUGCCUCAUGUAGUGGUAAAUGGCAAGGUAGCAGCCAAGGGCACAGGGUCAGUAUUCAUUCGGUAGUCUUUUGAACAUAGAACUGAUAAUCUGUAGGUUUUUGUCACCCCAUCACUGUAGUAUUGCACAUGUCUGUGAGAUAUAGGUAGUUCUGGUAGGGAAGGAUUAUAAAAAUAAUCCACAAAACUAACCAGUUUGUGAUUUACUGCCCACUUGGAGGAAAUUGGGACUUAAUUUUUUUUUUAAAUAUUUAUUUAGUUUUGAGAGAGAGAGAGAGAAAGAGAGCAUGAGCAGGGGAGGGGCAGAGAGAGAGAGAGAGAGAGAGAGAAUCUGAAGCAGGCUCCAGGCUCUAAGCUGCCAGCACAGAGCCUGACGUGGGCUUGAACCCACAAACUGAGAUAUCAUGACCUGAGCUGAAGUCGGACACUUAACCAACUGAGCUACCCAGGCGCCCCAGAAAUUGGGGCUUAAAUUAAAAUUAUGUUGACUUAUAGAAAAUAAAAAUAUGAGCCUAUACCUGCACUGUGCACUAAGAUAUAUACCAUUACCUCUGUUCAUGCCUAUGUUUUCAUUUCAUCUCUGCAUGUGGAGUGCUUUGUGUAUGCAUGGUAGUUACUACAUGCCCAACACUACAUGCUCAAUAAAUGGCAUCUGAAUUAGUGAAGACUCAUUUCAAAUCUCUUGAUAAUGAUGCCAAAUUGUGUUUUUAGCAGCCUUCUAGCAUGAACUAUUUUAUAAUUCUGCUCUUGAAUAAUGAAUUUCUAUUUAACUACACUCUCACCGACUUUGACGAUGAGCACACUUUAAUUUUUGAUCUUUUGAAAAUAAAAGUUGACAUUCCA